Molecule: ribosomal RNA, 253 nt
Filed under: uncultured bacterium
Lineage: Bacteria
Description: partial 16S ribosomal RNA
Rfam family: Bacterial small subunit ribosomal RNA
Source: RNAcentral
UACAGAGGCCUCGAGCGUUAGGCGGAAUCACUGGGCUUAAAGCGUGUGUAGGUGGAUGCCUAAGUACCUUGUGAAAUCCCACAGCUUAACUGUGGAAUUGCUUGGUAUACUGGGUGUCUUGAGCCACUCAGGGGCUACUGGAGCAAACGGUGGAGCGGUGAAAUGCGUAGAUAUCGUUUGGAACGCCAAUGGUGAAAACAAGUAGCUGGGGGUGUGCUGACACUGAGACACGAAAGCCAGGGGAGCGAACGGG